Molecule: ribosomal RNA, 270 nt
Filed under: uncultured archaeon
Lineage: Archaea
Description: partial 16S ribosomal RNA
Rfam family: Archaeal small subunit ribosomal RNA
Source: RNAcentral
CUGCAGCCCGAGUGGUGAUCGAUUUUAUUGAGCCUAAAGCGUCCGUAGCCGGACUAGUAAACCCUUGGGUAAAUUGGGCAGCUUAACUGUCCAAAUUCCGAGGGGACCGCUAGUCUUGGGACCGGGAGAGGUCAGAGGUACUCAAGGGGUAGGGGCUAAAUCCUGUAAUCCUUUGGGGACCACCAGUGGCGAAGGCGUCUGACUAGAACGGAUCCGACGGUAAGGGACGAAACCCUGGGGCGCGAACCGGAUUAGAUACCCGAGUAGUCC